Molecule: transfer RNA, 77 nt
Filed under: Caudoviricetes sp.
Lineage: Duplodnaviria; Heunggongvirae; Uroviricota; Caudoviricetes
Description: tRNA-Met
Rfam family: tRNA
About the family: Transfer RNA (tRNA) molecules are approximately 80 nucleotides in length. Their secondary structure includes four short double-helical elements and three loops (D, anti-codon, and T loops). Further hydrogen bonds mediate the characteristic L-shaped molecular structure. tRNAs have two regions of fundamental functional importance: the anti-codon, which is responsible for specific mRNA codon recognition, and the 3' end, to which the tRNAs corresponding amino acid is attached (by aminoacyl-tRNA synthetases). tRNAs cope with the degeneracy of the genetic code in two manners: having more than one tRNA (with a specific anti-codon) for a particular amino acid; and 'wobble' base-pairing, i.e. permitting non-standard base-pairing at the 3rd anti-codon position.
Source: RNAcentral
GGGCUAGUAGCUCAGUCGGUCAGAGCCGGCAGCUCAUAACUGCUUGGUCGCGGGUUCAAGUCCUGCCUGGCCCACCA